Molecule: long non-coding RNA, 1348 nt
Filed under: Malus domestica (apple)
Lineage: Eukaryota; Viridiplantae; Streptophyta; Magnoliopsida; Rosales; Rosaceae
Description: long non-coding RNA (MDOM_LNC015933)
Source: RNAcentral
UGAACAACUUUCAAGAAGGAAUCGUUUCUGUUUGAGCGACGGAAAUUAAAGUGUUGAAGCUCCAAACAUGAUAGUCGGCUUCUUGCAGAUUUCGAAGCUGUUGUGAUGUUUCGAAGAUCUGGAAAUAUUUAACCGUUAGUUCAUCCUGAAUUUUUGAUAUGUUAUGAAAGAGUCGAUGAGGAACAACUUCAAUGAAGAAAGCAUGCCGAUCUGAACAAUAGAAAAUGGAGUUUCGAAGCUCACAACAAAUCUGACGGGUUGACAGAAAAAUAAUAACCAGUCAUUCAUCAUACCUGGAUUUCUGGAGUUAUACUGCUCCGAGGGAUCUCAAAUUUUGAUAUGUUGUAGUUCACGAGCUGAGGAACAACUUCAAUGAAGAAAGCAUACCGAUCUGAACAAGAGAAAAUGGAGUUUCGAAGCUCCCAACAAAUCUGACGGGUUGACAGAAAAAUAAUAACCAGUCAUUCAUCAUACCUGGAUUUCUGGAGUUAUACUGCUCCGAGGGAUCUCAAAUUUGGAUAUGUUGUAGUUCACAAGCUGAGGAACAACUUCAAUGAAGAAAGCAUGCUGAUUUGAGCAAGAGAAAAUAGAGUUUCAAAGCUCACAACAAAUCUGACGGGUUGACAGACAAAUGAUAAACAGUCACUCAUCAUACCUGGAUUUCUGGAGUUAUACUGCUCCGAGGGACCUCAAAUUUGGAUAUGUUGUAGUUCACAAGUUAAGGAACAACUUCGAUGAAGAAAGUAUGUUGAUAUGAACAAGAGAAAAUGGAGUUUCGAAGCUCACAACAAGUCUGACGGAUUAACAGAACAUUGAUGAACAGUUACUCAUCAUACUUGAAUUUCUGAAGUUGUACUACUCCGAUGGAUCUCAAAUUUGGAUAUGUUGUAGUUCACAAGAUAAGGAAAAACUUUCAUGAAGAUGACUUUGCAAUCUGAGCUAUAGAGAAUGGUGUUAUCUUGCAUCCACUCAGGCUGAUUAGUGGAAACGAAAAGCAAUUCCACCAAAGAAAAGAUGAAAAAGAGAGAAAAAAGCUACUAAUUGCACUUGAUCUUGUCUAGUCAAUAGCAUGCAGCAUCAAACACACAAAAGUUGGAAAUAUUUUUAGAUAAAGCAUAUACGAAUGUGUGACAUCGAAACAAGGAUUCGUUACUUUGACAAAUUAGUAACACGCGAGACGCCUCAUUCGGCAACUCUCUUCGCCUGAAGACUUGGGGGACUCCCACCAUAUGCUACUGCACCUUGAUACUCGGCAGUCUCACAACCACUCAGUGACUUGGAUUUUUCAAGUCUCCAACCGAGAAGUUUUCCUCACUCGGGAAAUUAAGGGAACACUACCUCAAACUAC